AAUGUUUGUUAAAAACUACGUAAUCCUCUUUAAUUUAUUGUUUUUAAAAUUAGUUUUUUGUGUCGACGACGAUUAUAACUACAGUCCCGCACUGCGUUCUACUGAAUUGAAAUGCAAAAAUCUUGCACACCAAAUUUACUGUCAGUUAAAAUGUGGCUUGCAGGCGGCCGUUUGUAUAAAUGCAGAUUGCUAUUGUCUAUCUCUUAAACUCGCAGGAGCACAGGACGAUGCUCCUCAACAUGAAAUAGAUGAAAUAAGACCAAAUGGGAGACUAGACGAAGAUGUGAAUUAUAUUGACAGCGAUGAACUACCUAUUAUUCCAAACGCAAGUCCAGAAAGAAGUGAUUCUUUUUACGCAAUACGUCCCACAGUCCGACAUCACAUCGCACACUUUUGUCCUAAUCUCGAUGUAGCCAGGGAAUGCAUCAAGAAAUGCUUGAAAGUAGGCAAGCCUGCCUUCUGUGGCAAGGACCAUGUCUGCUACUGUGGUCAUAACUACUCAAACAACGAUGAUAAUACGGCAGCUGAUGUAAAAGAAACAUACGCACAGUUCAAAGACCUAUACACUAAGUAUUUCGGAGCGGAUAGAGAUACGAUUGAAUUAGAAAUGU
This is a long non-coding RNA of Vanessa tameamea, 611 nucleotides long. RefSeq lists it as uncharacterized. The transcript has 4 exons. The record is from RefSeq and is a predicted model, not a curated record. NCBI's taxonomy places the organism in Eukaryota, Metazoa, Arthropoda, Insecta, Lepidoptera, Nymphalidae.